AAAGCAUCUAAGCGGGAAGCGAGCCCUGAGAUGAGUCUUCCCUGAUACUUUAAGUAUCCUAAAGGGUUGUCGGAGACUACGACGUUGAUAGGUCAGGUGUGUAAGUGCUGUGAGGCAUUGAGCUAACUGAUACUAAUUGCCCGUGAGGCUUAACCAUACAACACCCAAGGGGUUU
This 175-nucleotide ribosomal RNA is filed under the name Vibrio parahaemolyticus. RNAcentral describes it as "partial 23S ribosomal RNA". The stretch from base 1 to 157 matches the Rfam family "Bacterial large subunit ribosomal RNA", at positions 2774 to 2925 of the family's 2925-position model. The record is from RNAcentral. Lineage: Bacteria; Pseudomonadati; Pseudomonadota; Gammaproteobacteria; Vibrionales; Vibrionaceae.